CAAGAAAUAGUUUAAUAAGAAUAUCAGUUUUGGGGAUUGAUGGCAGAGCGUAAGCUUUUUUCUUGA
This 66-nucleotide transfer RNA is filed under the name Potamogale velox. Its description in RNAcentral is "tRNA-Pro". The record is from RNAcentral. Lineage: Eukaryota; Metazoa; Chordata; Mammalia; Afrosoricida; Tenrecidae.